CAGGCACAAGUCACCCCCGUACAGCCAUCCCUCUGCACAUACAUGGGCCACCAAGAUCAGAGACAGGAAACUGGGCAGCAGGAAGAGCAACUGAACUGGUUCCUGAAGCUUGUGAUGGGUUGCUUCUUCGGCUGGUUGCUGGCACCAUCUACGGGCCCUACGUGCGAAGGAAGAUUGAGAUGUUUUUUAUCAUCAUAUUACAGGAGAAGUGUCUUGCCUCAGCGUCCCAGAGUAAAGGAAGCACUAAGCCUUGAACUUCCCUGAUUGGCACGAGGCACUCUCAGCAUUGGUCAGAGGUGGAAAGAGAUACAGGAAACCUUGGGUCCUACCUGUAUGGUGACUGAUGGGGAAUUUGACCUUUGUGGCAGCAGGAGUGGCAUGGGAUAAGUUGCUCAUGACUUCAACGCCUGGAAGAGUUUAGCUCGGGGCAGCUGGUCCUCAGAAACAUUGUCCAUAUUGUGGCUUGAGGGAGUCCGAUGCUUUGCUUUCCAGAGCUGAAAGACACCAUCAAGAAUUCUGUUGACUUAAACCUCCCAAUUCAGGAGGCUCUAUUCUCUGACCAUGGGCCACAUUACACCAAAACAGGUUCCCUCGCUCCCUUGUCAGUCUCUUUGGCUCAGGCUGCCCUUUAGGGAAGGGUGGAAAUGGUGUUGGGGAUGUGUGACAUGUCAGUGUGAGUUAUUCAAAACAUUAUCUGUGUUAUAACUCAGUGCUCUCUCCUUCCCUGGACAUAGCCUUAACCUCUGGCAUUACUGUCUGUGGCCUGUUUCCCCACCCACCUCUGUCUGCUGCUGCACCCAUCCCACUACUGCCUCCAAAACCACCUCAGCUGAGUCCUCCACCUAAUCUCUAUCUGCUGAUCUACCCAUCCCCCCUGAAGGAAACAUUCGAAGCGUCUACCUUUUGGGAGGUUGGCUCAAGGGAGCGAGAUCUUUUCUUCCUGACUUUCCUCUCUGCUGAUUUCUCUCGUUCUUGAUCCUUCUUCAGUUCUCUCCUGGCUGCGUAGUGCAGCUGCUCCGUUCUCUGGGGCUCUGCUGGGAGGCUCUCGAUACUCACAGUAUCUUUCACAUGAGGCUCUGGAGUGAAGCUGGACUGCACAUAUUUCGGCUCCAACAUAUCCUCCUCAAAAAAAUGCCCCGAGGUGAGUUCACUCCCCUGGUUUCUGUGUCGGGUUAUGGAACGUCGACUGGCUGCAAUGCGGGAGAUGCUUUUGGUGCUAACAGCAAUCUCUGUCAAGGCCUCCAGACUCAGUGGGGCAAGCGUGAUCUCUGCAGCUGACUUUCUCCUAUUUAAGUCCGGGGAGGUAGGGGAACAUAGCUCGGAGGCCAUCUUUCCUACAGGAAUGCCAGUCGGUUUCUGCUAAAAAUCAAAGCCAUGGAAUCGGACAACUCAGGAUUUGCUUUUUACUUAAUACUUAAGGUGUUUUUCAUCUUCCAACCAUGUUAGAAACAUUAAUCAAUCACUACCACACUCCAGAGAAGUUGGUAGAUGUUAGUAUAUCCAUUUUUGCAGAUGGGGAAACUGAGGUAGAGACAGUAAGGGAAAUACCCAAGGUUACAAAAGGAGUCAGCCUUGGGAUAAGAACCAAGAGUAACUGCCUCUUGGUCCUGUACUCAGGCAUUAGGCCAUGUCAUAAUCUCUCCCAAAGCGUCCACAUAUUAGCCCCAAAGGAAUCAUAUGUGAUUAGAUUCUUAAAAGAAUUUUACAAAGGCCUCAUUACACGAUAUGGCACCAGAAAAUACCAAACUCCAUCCAGCUUCAGCUUUUGUGGGAAACAAGCAACAUUCCUGGUCUGAGUAUUGCAACAUCAACACAAAUGUCAGAGAAGCUUGACACCCAGGCAAGAGUCACUUCAUCAUCUUCCUCCCUCCAGAUAGACACGCGUACAAAUAUUACUUUGUGCCUUGGAUGCGCUGAGUAGAAAAUACAUUGGUCUAGGGGAACUGGCUAUUGACCUAAAGGUAUCUGUCAUAUCACUUCCUUGUCCCAUAAUUUAUGUUGCAUCUAUCAAGGUGUUUAUAUGACUCAUCACAGGAGUACCUGAACAUCUCAUGAACAUUUGUUUAUCCUUCCCACCUGUGUUGCAGGGAUUACUGCUAUCCUUGUUGUACAGACAGACAACUGGGGCCCGUAGAGAUUAGGAGGUGGGAGUAGAACCCACGGCACUUGGAUCCCAGCCUGUACCUUAUUCCUCUGGGAAUGGAAUGUAUUACACACAGAUAUUUAUCUUCCUCAUCUAGAAAACUAGUCUCGGACUCCUCACUGCAUCAUACGACUUGCAGCCACGAUGGGUCCAACUGCUGCGUGCACCCUGCUUUUGCCAGAGGAAAGUGCUCGCUGUGGCGGUAGACCUUGAACUCUGUGCCUGCCAGUACUGACCUGGUGCAGUGGGGUUCUUGGCAAGCAAAAGAAAGUAGGGCCGAGAUGGGUGUCUGGAUUCCCCAGUUUUCUAGUAGGUGUCGUUUUGGAUGAUCUGUAGCUGUCACUGUGAAAAACACACAUGGAGGCGUGAAUAGAUUGAACUACAUGUAUAAGAGCCAGGCACUUGGCCCGUUAGAGGGAGAGGGGAAAGCCAGGCAGCCCUUCUGGAGUGUUUGGAGACACCUGUUUGGAUUAACUCCUCCAAAAUGUAUGGGAAACCAGGACUGAUUUAAAAGCAGGGGUGGGGAGGGAAGAUCCAGGAUGGAAAGAGAAUUUCAGAACUCAGGGAAACAUUGAGGGGACCCUGAACCCACUUAAAAGAGCUUCAUUAAUAUAUAUUGGUUGAACUCUUUCACACUGAUCGGUUUACAACCAAAGUCCCCCUCACCCCACCCACUCCCUGGAGAAAAUUCCUACUAAAGCACAGAGCUACCUAGCAAUUGCAUAAUACAACAGGGACUUCUUUCCUACUGGCUCCCUUUUCUGGGGGUUCCUCUAACAUGUUCACUCAUUUGGGGAUCUGUCCUCUAGGAACCAAGUCUGGUUUAGGACUCACGUUGGAGAGACUUUGCAGGGCUCUGCAUCAUUGGGCAAUGUUCACCUUAGUCCUCUAGUAUCUAAAGUGCUUGCUCUGCCUCCAUGCGAUGCCCCACUACGCUGUUGACAUCACAGCCACCCUGGUACUCCAGCUGGGGCAUGGGACCAGGCUAUGGAGAGGUCAGUGUGACCUGGAGGACUGCAUGUGAGCGGGAAGAUGUUUUGCUGGCAGCGGUGGGCUCCUGAGUGCAUUCUUUGUUUCCUUUUGUUAACAGCGGCGUGAUCUAAACAAUGCAGAAAAAUAUGCAGAAGCUUAAAGACCUGCUCAGAUUUACCUCCUGUGCAUCUGUAGUGGAGACUUCAGUAAUUCCUGCUAUCUGGAUGCUACCCCUAGCAUCCUCUCUGAGGUCUAGGAAUCCAGUGGAUGGAUUCAGGAGGUCACGGAUCACUUCGUUAUAAA
Long non-coding RNA from Chelonia mydas (Green sea turtle), 3418 nucleotides. RefSeq lists it as uncharacterized. The transcript has 6 exons. The record is from RefSeq and is a predicted model, not a curated record. NCBI's taxonomy places the organism in Eukaryota, Metazoa, Chordata, Testudines, Cheloniidae.